UGCCAGCCGCCGCGGUAACACGGGGGGCGCAAGCGUUAUUCGGAAUUAUUGGGCGUAAAGGGCGCGCAGGCGGUCUUGUCCGUCAGGUGUGAAAGCUCGGGGCUCAACCCCGGAAGUGCACUUGAAACAGCAAGACUUGAAUACGGUAGAGGAGAGAGGAAUUCCUGGUGUAGAGGUGAAAUUCGUAGAUAUCAGGAGGAACACCGAUGGCGAAGGCAACUUUCUGGCACGAUACUGACGCUGAGGCUCGAGAGCGUGGGGAGCGAACAGGAUUAGAUA
Molecule: ribosomal RNA, 279 nt
Filed under: uncultured bacterium
Lineage: Bacteria
Description: partial 16S ribosomal RNA
Rfam family: Bacterial small subunit ribosomal RNA
Source: RNAcentral